CGGGAUAGCUCAGUUGGUAGA
This 21-nucleotide transfer RNA is filed under the name Dendrophthoe longituba. RNAcentral describes it as "partial tRNA-Phe". The record is from RNAcentral. Lineage: Eukaryota; Viridiplantae; Streptophyta; Magnoliopsida; Santalales; Loranthaceae. RNAcentral also lists the same sequence under 1 other name.